UUGUAACUCUGGAAAAUAAGUUGCCUUGUUUAUUCUGCAAGCCAGGUCCAGCACAGGAAGCGACGCUGCAAGCUUUCCCAGCCUGACCUGCCGCAGCGACCACAAGCCAGAUCUGGAAGGACCACCCUGGGAAUAAGGAGCAAUUCAGAUUUCUUACCAGCUAAUUCCUGCAUCU
RNAcentral lists this small RNA (175 nucleotides) under Dromaius novaehollandiae (emu). RNAcentral's name for it is "TUC338 (ENSDNVG00000013770.1)". The record is from RNAcentral. Lineage: Eukaryota; Metazoa; Chordata; Aves; Casuariiformes; Dromaiidae.